GAAAGAAUGCGGCGGGGGCUCCGCGGGAGAACAAAGGCACGGCCCAAAGCCUCCCCUGCAGAAAAGGGGUUGGGGGGGGGAGGAAUCGCUCACUGCUCUGUGCCAAGAGCCCACCCUGAGCCCCCGGUCCCCCUGCAAGGAUAAACGCCAGCGCGCGGUGCAUUGCAAUCCCGCAGCUGUCAGCCAUAAAAAACCCCGACGCGAAGGAGCGGGGACGCGCUCCCCAUCCAUAAUAAACUCUCUGUGAGAGCUGCGGCUCCGGAGCAGCGCUGCUGUAAACACGGAGCCCGCUGCGCUCGGAGCCCCGACGAAUCCGGGCCGCCGUGUUUACGUUCCCGUGGAUCCCGGGGUGCCCCGAGGAGCACGGUGCAGUUCGAGCCAUUCAUUAUCCCCAAAGAGAGAACGUCAACAACACGCUUCAGCCGCAGAGACCGAAGCCAAAUGUUGGGUUUGAUCAACAGCACGCAGCCCUCGGGGCACGCGGCACCGCGGGGACGGCGGCACGGCCCCCCCAGCGUGGCACCCACGGCACUGCAGGGCUGGGAGCACCGCGGUGCUGUUCUGAAGGCAGGUCCACAUUCAGUUCUGCACUCGGUUCUGAAGUCAGAUCCGAGCUCAGCUCUAAAUUUGGUUCUACAUUCAGUUCCACUCUCAGUUCCGCACUCCGUUCUGCACCCGGUUCCGAAUUCAGUUCCGGAUUCAGUUCCGGAUUCAGUUCCGGAUUCAGUUCCGGAUUCACUUCCACAUUCGGUUCCGCACUCACUUCCGAAUUCAGUUCCAAAUUCAGUUCUGAAUUCAGCUCCAAAUUCAGUUCCACAUUCAGUUCCGAAUUCAGCUCCACAUUCAGUUCUGAAUUCGGUUUUACACUGAGUUCUGCGUUCAGUUCCACACUCAGUUCCGCAUUCAGUCCCGAACGCGCUUCCGAAUUCAGUUCCGGAUUCACUUCCACACUCAGUGCCGCGCUCAGUUCCGAAUUCAGCUCCGAAUUCAGCCCCACGCUCGGUCCCGCAUCCACCUCCGCAUCCCGCCCCGCUUUCAGCCCUGCCUCGCAGCGCUCUCCCUUGCGAACAGGCGGGCUCCGAUUCGCGGCCACGCGCAUUUUUGGCUGCGGGAUCGGGACGGUGCGCGCGCGCGCGCACGGAGCCCCCAGAAACAUCACGAUGGAGCGCGCAGGAAACCCCCCCCCCNNNNNNNNN
This 1196-nucleotide long non-coding RNA is filed under the name Numida meleagris (helmeted guineafowl). RNAcentral describes it as "lncRNA (ENSNMEG00000005232.1)". Lineage: Eukaryota; Metazoa; Chordata; Aves; Galliformes; Numididae. The record is from RNAcentral.